RNAcentral lists this ribosomal RNA (469 nucleotides) under uncultured bacterium. Its description in RNAcentral is "bacterial SSU rRNA". It matches the Rfam family "Bacterial small subunit ribosomal RNA", at positions 331 to 792 of the family's 1533-position model. The record is from RNAcentral.
CCAGACUCCUACGGGAGGCAGCAGUGGGGACUCUUGCACAAUGGGCGCCCGCCUGAUGCCGCCCUGCCGCGUGUCUGCCGAAGGCCUUCGGGUUGUAAAGUCCUUUCAGCGGGGCGGCCGGUGUUGAGGUUCCUCACCACAGCCCUUGACGUUACCCGCCGCCGAAGCACCGGCUCACUCCGUGCCAGCCGCCGCGGUCCUCCGGAGGGUGCCCGCGUUAAUCGGAAUUACUGGGCGUAAAGCGCACGCAGGCGGUCUGGCAAGUCGGAUGUGAAAGCCCCGGGCUCAACCGGGGAACUGCAUUCGAAACUGGCAGGCUGGAGGCGGGUAGAGGGGGGGAGAAUUCCAGGGGGAGCGGUGAAAGGCGGAGAGAUCUGGAGGAAGACCGGUGGAGAAGGCGGCCCCCGGGACAAAGACUGACGCUCAGGUGCGAAAGCGUGGGGAGCAAACAGGAUUAGAUACCCCCGUA